Molecule: long non-coding RNA, 245 nt
Filed under: Elaeis guineensis (African oil palm)
Lineage: Eukaryota; Viridiplantae; Streptophyta; Magnoliopsida; Arecales; Arecaceae
Description: long non-coding RNA (EGUI_LNC043506)
Source: RNAcentral
GUGGUGAUAGGUCCAACUUAGUUCACUUCUGAGGUGAUGCUAGGAAGAGGAGACCUUGCUUGAACCUUUAUGUCGAUGUCCAAUUGAAGUUGAAACAGUAUAUAAUGAAAAAAUCCACUUGCUGAAGAGUGUCCGAUGGGGAUCCUUUGAUGUCUAAGUCAAACAUACUCUCAAAAAAUAGUGAAAGUGUUAUUAGAGCGGCAGAGUGAUGGAACGACAUAUGAAGGUAAGAGUGCAUAUACCUG